Molecule: long non-coding RNA, 747 nt
Filed under: Microcebus murinus (gray mouse lemur)
Lineage: Eukaryota; Metazoa; Chordata; Mammalia; Primates; Cheirogaleidae
Description: lncRNA (ENSMICG00000048660.1)
Source: RNAcentral
CGGCCUCGGGCCUGGGUGCCCCGUGCGGGGUGCGGGAAUCGGGAGGCGCCCCCCGCGCUGCUGUCCUCCGAGCCCCCGAAGGGGUGGCGGCGGGGCCUGCGCCCGAGGACAGUGCAGCGUCUGCAGCCCUUCGUCUCAGGCGUCUUGGACAAUCCGGGAGGGCUCCCUGGAGAAGGUGACGGCUUUGCAAUGAUAGCGCUUUGCUUGCAGCGCUCUCGCGGAUGGGGAGCCGCUUCCGUCCCGAACGCUCCUCUGUGCAUCGGGGACAUCCUUCAAAUCGUUCAGGACUCCGAGAGUCACUCGGUCCCUGGAAACUCUGGGAACGGCCACAGGCACAAGGCGGAGAGUGGCAGCUUUCUUGUUUGGUCGAGGGAAACCCGGCGCUGGGUCUGCCACGUGGGAGGGUGGCAGUGGGGGGAAACGGACCCCCUGAGUCUUCACCCAGACCCAGGGACGCCCGGCUGCGGGGAAGAAUUCAAGGUCACAAUCCGAGUCAUAGUUUGGGGACACCUGUUCUCGGCAGAUCCAGCAGGGCUUUUGCGUCCGACUUCAGAUUUUUAGGGAUGCCUGAUGUCUGAUCAGACCUUUGGGGAUCAUCUGAGUUGGGGACGCCCUCUCAGACAUCUUCUAUUUCCGGGCUAGAGUACCGUGGCGUCAGCCUAGCUCACACCAGCCUCCAACUCCUGGGCUUGAGCGAUCCUCCUGCCUCAGCCUCCCGAGUAGCUGAGACUACAGGCAUGUGCCACG